Molecule: unclassified non-coding RNA, 518 nt
Filed under: Hevea brasiliensis (rubber tree)
Lineage: Eukaryota; Viridiplantae; Streptophyta; Magnoliopsida; Malpighiales; Euphorbiaceae
Source: RNAcentral
UUUAGGCUGGCCCAGGUCCUAGUGUCGGUCCGGCCCAUAGGUUGGGCCGUGUCACAAAGAGGCUACAUGUAGUGAAAAUGUGAGAAAGAGAAGGGGAAUUGAAGGAUAAUAGUUGCUACAAUUUAGAGAGGAGGAUGACUUGUUGUGUCCAAAGGGAAAUAUUGGGUUAAGGGGAAGGAUUUUAGUUUUUGAGAGAAUUGAGUUUUUUUUUUUCCUUUUUUAUUUAAAGACAGAAGCUAACGUAGCAAUUUUAUUAAUCAUUAGCGAUGCCACCAAUAAGAGGGUGUAAUUACUUUGAUGUAUAAAUUACAUGCAAUUAUUAAAAAUAAAAAGUUUCUUUUUUUUUUGUCUAUUUUUCCUAAUAAUAAAUAAGAAGAAGAAACCAGGGUAAAUUUAUAGCUCGUCUUUGAACUUUACUCUCUUAUUUCACUUUCAUCUCUUAAUUUUAAUUUAUUACUAAAAAAGCUCUGAACUUUAUUUUUAUUUCACAAAAAUCUCUUUAACCUGCUGUAAUAGGU